AACGAACGCUGGCGGCAUGCCUAACACAUGCCAGUCGAACGAGACCUUCGGGUCUAGUGGCGCACGGGUGCGUAACGCGUGGGAACCUGCCCUUAGGUUCGGAAUAACUCCCCGAAAGGGGUGCUAAUACCGGAUAAUGUCUUCGGACCAAAGAUUUAUCGCCUUUGGAUGGGCCCGCGUUGGAUUAGCUAGUUGGUAGGGUAAAAGCCUCCCAAGGCGACGAUCCAUAGCUGGUCUGAGAGACUGAUCAGCCACACUGGGACUGAGACACGGCCCAGACUCCUACGGGAGGCAGCAGUGGGGAAUAUUGGACAAUGGGCGAAAGCCUGAUCCAGCAAGGCCGGGUGAGUGAUGAAGGCCUUAGGGUUGUAAAGCUCUUUUACCCGGGAUGAUAAUGACAGUACCGGGAGAAUAAGCUCCGGCUAACUCCGUG
Molecule: ribosomal RNA, 433 nt
Filed under: uncultured bacterium
Lineage: Bacteria
Description: partial 16S ribosomal RNA
Rfam family: Bacterial small subunit ribosomal RNA
Source: RNAcentral